GUGGGGAAUAUUGGACAAUGGGCGCAAGCCUGAUCCAGCCAUGCCGCGUGUGUGAAGAAGGCCUUCGGGUUGUAAAGCACUUUCAGCGAGGAGGAAGGGUUAGUCGUUAAUAGCGGCUAAUUUUGACGUUACUCGCAGAAGAAGCACCGGCUAACUCUGUGCCAGCAGCCGCGGUAAUACAGAGGGUGCAAGCGUUAAUCGGAAUUACUGGGCGUAAAGCGCACGUAGGCGGUUUUUUAAGUCAGAUGUGAAAGCCCCGGGCUCAACCUGGGAAUUGCAUUUGAAACUGGGGAACUAGAGUGUGUGAGAGGGGGGUAGAAUUCCAAGUGUAGCGGUGAAAUGCGUAGAGAUUUGGAGGAAUACCAGUGGCGAAGGCGGCCCCCUGGCACAACACUGACGCUCAGGUGCGAAAGCGUGGGGAGCAAACAGG
Molecule: ribosomal RNA, 430 nt
Filed under: uncultured bacterium
Lineage: Bacteria
Description: bacterial SSU rRNA
Rfam family: Bacterial small subunit ribosomal RNA
Source: RNAcentral